Molecule: transfer RNA, 77 nt
Filed under: Subdoligranulum sp. CAG:314
Lineage: Bacteria; Bacillati; Bacillota; Clostridia; Eubacteriales; Oscillospiraceae
Also listed under: 3 other names
Description: transfer RNA-His(GTG)
Rfam family: tRNA
About the family: Transfer RNA (tRNA) molecules are approximately 80 nucleotides in length.
Source: RNAcentral
GUGGGCAUAGCUCAGUUGGUUAGAGCGCCAGAUUGUGACUCUGGAGGUCGUGGGUUCGACUCCCAUUGCUCACCCCA